UUGCGGAUGUGAUGAGAACCGUCGCUUUCUACCCAGGGCUGUGCGCAAGCACGCCGCUGCGGAUUCGACAAAUUUGCACGUCAGUCUGAUCCGCAA
This 96-nucleotide small nucleolar RNA is filed under the name Klebsormidium nitens. Its description in RNAcentral is "Small nucleolar RNA Z122". It matches the Rfam family "Small nucleolar RNA Z122". Rfam says of the family: Z122 is a member of the C/D class of snoRNA which contain the C (UGAUGA) and D (CUGA) box motifs. Lineage: Eukaryota; Viridiplantae; Streptophyta; Klebsormidiophyceae; Klebsormidiales; Klebsormidiaceae. The record is from Rfam by way of RNAcentral.